RNAcentral lists this ribosomal RNA (440 nucleotides) under uncultured bacterium. RNAcentral's name for it is "partial 16S ribosomal RNA". It matches the Rfam family "Bacterial small subunit ribosomal RNA", at positions 338 to 795 of the family's 1533-position model. The record is from RNAcentral.
CCUACGGGUGGCAGCAGUGGGGAAUAUUGGACAAUGGGCGAAACCCUGAUCCAGCGACGCCGCGUGAGUGAAGAAGUAUUUCGGUACGUAAAGCUCUAUCAGCAGGAAAGAAAAUGACGGUACCUGUCAAAGCAGCGCUGGCUAACUACGUGACAGCAGCCGCGGGAAAACGCAGGGGGCAAGCGUUAUCCGGAUGUACUGGGUGUAAAGGGAGCGUAGACGGCAGUGCAAGUCGGGAGUGAAAUGCCGGGGCCCAACCCCGGAACUGCUCUGGAAACUGGGAGGCUGGAGUGCAGGAGAGGCAGGCGGAAUUCCUGGUGUAGCGGUGAAAUGCGUAGAUAUCAGGAGGAAUACCGGCGGCGAAGGCGGCUUACUGGACAAUGACUGACGUUGAGGUGCGAAGGCGUGGGGAGCAAACAGGAUUAGAUACCCGAGUAGUC